RNAcentral lists this unclassified non-coding RNA (245 nucleotides) under uncultured fungus. RNAcentral's name for it is "sequence contains 18S rRNA gene, ITS1, 5.8S rRNA gene, ITS2". The record is from RNAcentral. Lineage: Eukaryota; Fungi.
CUGAUACUGUCAAACAAAAAAAGCGUCUAUGUGGAUCGAGACUAGACACCGUGAGGCGUCCAAUCCGUCACCGCAGGGAUCGAUCCGAGGACCAAUCCCUACACCUUGCCCGGCAUUGCUGCACAGGCUCGGGUUAAUGUUUGUCAGAGUUUUACCUCCAACACCAUUUGAUUUGUUAAUGAUCCUUCCGCAGGUUCACCUACGGAAACCUUGUUACGACUUUUACUUCCUCUAAAUGACCAAGA